RNAcentral lists this transfer RNA (75 nucleotides) under Oberthuerella sharkeyi. RNAcentral describes it as "tRNA-Lys". The record is from RNAcentral. Lineage: Eukaryota; Metazoa; Arthropoda; Insecta; Hymenoptera; Liopteridae.
UAUUAUGUAUCUUAAAAUUAAAGUAAUGAUUUUUUAAAUCAUUUAUGAUAAACAAAUUCAAAUUAUCCUUAAUAA